GAUAAAGAAGUUUCACUUCAUGGCCAGCUUUCUGUAGUCCUUCAACAUAAGCCAAUUGCCAAUCUUGAACAAGAUCGAAACCAGCCACAACGACUAGACUUUUAGGGAAUUUGAGUUCGGCGAGGUUUCUCCCUCUUGGGCCAAAGAUAUUACAUGCUGGAUGAUCUCUAUCUUCCCCUUCGGGUAGAUAUGCUCUCCAAUACCAGUCACGAUCUUGAAUUGUAACAAAGUACUUGCUAUCUAAUCUCUUCUCUGAUUCAGUUCUCUUCUGCCCACCAAACAUUGGGUGCAGAAGGAUAUUACCCAAUACUUCAACAUCUGCUUCCGCUGCCCUCACUGCAACAUGGUGAGCUAUAUUUCCACCUGAACUAUCCCCAGCCAAAUAUACAUGAACCUUGGAAUCCUUCCCACUUUGAAGCCAAGUUCUUGACUUAACCCAUUUAAGAGCUGCCCAACCAUCAUCAUAUGCACAUGGGUACCGGUACUCAGGUGACCGCCGAUAAUUAACAGACACCACAACAGCCUUGCAAACGCUCACAAGGCGGCGACAGAAGGUGUCAUAGAUAGCACUAUUGGCAGAGGAGUGAGUGAAGCUUCCACCGUGGAAGAAGAUUAUAACUGGGACAAUCUCAGUGCUGCUCAAAGGCUUUUCAAGCUCUACAAUGCCCCAUUGAACCUCAUUUUCAGGGGCAGGUUGGUAAACCCGGUUAAGGAGGCCUGUGGUUCGAUCGA
This 732-nucleotide unclassified non-coding RNA is filed under the name Hevea brasiliensis (rubber tree). Lineage: Eukaryota; Viridiplantae; Streptophyta; Magnoliopsida; Malpighiales; Euphorbiaceae. The record is from RNAcentral.